ACAGAAGGAGGAGGAGGAGGAGGAGGUUUUUAUUUUCACCUGUGUGGAUUAAAUCUGGUUGAUUGUGAAGCUGUAAUCUGGAUUAGGUUUUUAUUGUGAUGGUGACUCAGGGAAAAUGGCGUCGCGUCUGCAUGAGUCAUCGCGGCCUGCUGCACAAACUGCUGAGUCAUGGGUUAAAUCAAUGAUUUCCGUCCCUGCUCAGGAAAUGGAAUCAUUUAAGAGACUUUCUGCUGCUCGUCUCCACUGCACAGAGGACACGAGUGAGGACAGAAGUGAGGACACGUGUGAGGACAGAAGUGUCUGCUGCUCAGCUGGACAAUGAACUUCUGUCUGUCCAUCUGUGUCUCUGUCCAAACCUCUGUCGCUGUCUAAAGCUGUGCUUAAACCUCACAGGUGCUAGUUUGGCUAAUGCUGGCUUAGCUCACGGGUGCUAGUUUGGCUAAUGCUGGCUUUGCUCACAGGU
Long non-coding RNA from Solea senegalensis (Senegalese sole), 463 nucleotides. RefSeq lists it as uncharacterized. NCBI's taxonomy places the organism in Eukaryota, Metazoa, Chordata, Actinopteri, Pleuronectiformes, Soleidae. The transcript is spliced from 3 exons. The record is from RefSeq and is a predicted model, not a curated record.